Molecule: long non-coding RNA, 271 nt
Filed under: Mytilus galloprovincialis (Mediterranean mussel)
Lineage: Eukaryota; Metazoa; Mollusca; Bivalvia; Mytilida; Mytilidae
Source: RNAcentral
UUUUUUAAUUUGUUGUAUGAAUAGUUUUGAUGAGUCAUCUACUUUAGUUGAAACAUAUUUUGUUAGUUAAAAAUGCUAGUUUUUGAAGAAUUAAAAAAGCAAAGUUCUUAUCAAACGUAAGGGUGAGUUUGAAAAUGCUACUACUUUCUUAAUCUGAGAGUUUUCUGUCCACUUUUGUUGAAAAAUAUUUCUUUUACACACCAUAGUUGAAUGUUGAACACAUUGUCAUUAUUUACAUUAGCAAAUGAGAUGUUUAUUGUGUAACUUAAAA